UACGUAGGGGGCAAGCGUUGUCCGGAAUCAUUGGGCGUAAAGAGCGUGUAGGCGGCCUGGUAAGUCCGCUGUGAAAGUCCAGGGCUCAACCCUGGAAUGCCGGUGGAAACUGUCAGGCUCGAGUCCGGAAGAGGCGAGUGGAAUUCCUGGUGUAGCGGUGAAAUGCGCAGAUAUCAGGAAGAACACCCGUGGCUAAGGCGGUUCUCUAGUACGGUACUGACGCUGAGACGCGAAAGCGUGGGGAGCGAACAGG
This 253-nucleotide ribosomal RNA is filed under the name uncultured bacterium. RNAcentral's name for it is "partial 16S ribosomal RNA". It matches the Rfam family "Bacterial small subunit ribosomal RNA", at positions 524 to 776 of the family's 1533-position model. The record is from RNAcentral.